Molecule: transfer RNA, 540 nt
Filed under: uncultured Prochlorococcus sp.
Lineage: Bacteria; Bacillati; Cyanobacteriota; Cyanophyceae; Synechococcales; Prochlorococcaceae
Description: partial 16S-23S ribosomal RNA intergenic spacer
Rfam family: tRNA (bases 211-283)
Source: RNAcentral
AGGGAGACAACAAANUGUUUAAUAUUAUUAUUUUGUCACCUUAGGUCGAUCGGGAUCUCACGUUCUUAAUUUGUUAAGAAUUUCAUUUCCUAAGUUUUUCUAGGUCACACCCAUUAUUUUUCCUGGGCCAUUAGCUCAGGUGGUUAGAGCGCACCCCUGAUAAGGGUGAGGUCCCUGGUUCAAGUCCAGGAUGGCCCAUAUCUCUAUGUUGGGGGUAUAGCUCAGUUGGUAGAGCGCCUGCUUUGCAAGCAGGAUGUCAGCGGUUCGAGUCCGCUUACCUCCACUGAUUACCACCUCUUCCAUAACUGGUAGAAAGGAAAUGUUUUGAGUUGUGAUUAUUAUUCUGAACGAAUCUAGCUUCCUAAUGAAAUCAUUAAGAUGCUGGACUCAUUGAAUUAAUUUCAUUGUUUUCAGAGAACCUUGACAACUGCAUAGAUUUUUUUAAAGACAAUAAGCAUCUUUAAUGAUGCAGAUUUAUUAUUUGUGCGAAUGCAUUAAUAACAAUUCUAUUAAGCUGAUGCUUCAAUUUUUGAAGUUAUU